RNAcentral lists this ribosomal RNA (492 nucleotides) under uncultured bacterium. RNAcentral's name for it is "partial 16S ribosomal RNA". It matches the Rfam family "Bacterial small subunit ribosomal RNA", at positions 29 to 507 of the family's 1533-position model. The record is from RNAcentral.
AGUGAACGCUGGCGGUAGGCCUAACACAUGCAAGUCGAACGGCAGCACGGUAAGAGCUUGCUCUUACGGGUGGCGAGUGGCGGACGGGUGAGGAAUACAUCGGAAUCUACUUUUUCGUGGGGGAUAACGUAGGGAAACUUACGCUAAUACCGCAUACGACCUACGGGUGAAAGCAGGGGAUCUUCGGACCUUGCGCGAUUGAAUGAGCCGAUGUCGGAUUAGCUAGUUGGCGGGGUAAAGGCCCACCAAGGCGACGAUCCGUAGCUGGUCUGAGAGGAUGAUCAGCCACACUGGAACUGAGACACGGUCCAGACUCCUACGGGAGGCAGCAGUGGGGAAUAUUGGACAAUGGGCGCAAGCCUGAUCCAGCCAUACCGCGUGGGUGAAGAAGGCCUUCGGGUUGUAAAGCCCUUUUGUUGGGAAAGAAAAGCAGCAGGUUAAUACCCCGCUGUUCUGACGGUGCCCAAAGAAUAAGCACCGGCUAACUUCGCG